RNAcentral lists this long non-coding RNA (1236 nucleotides) under Equus caballus (horse). RNAcentral's name for it is "lncRNA (ENSECAG00000040426.2)". Lineage: Eukaryota; Metazoa; Chordata; Mammalia; Perissodactyla; Equidae. The record is from RNAcentral.
UGUCUCUCUGCCCUUUGCUCCCUGCAAAUCAUUUAUCACCUCUUGCUCCUCACCUUUCUCUUGUCUCAUAGGGUUUUUUCUUUUUCUGAUUCUAAAAAUAAUAUGCCUCUAGCAAACUGACCAGAGUAUAGAGGGAAAAAAUUCACCAGAAAGCCACCAUCCUACCGUGGCACUGUGCAGACACUGGGACAAAGUGAUGAACAGCACGGACUCAGUAAACAUGGAAACAAGAGCAUCUCCUCUGCACUUGGCUUUUCCAAAAUCGUGGCUGCACCGUCUCAGGGAGCCCACUCUAAGGUUGGGCUAAUCUCCCAGAUGAGAACCAGAAAAGCGAAGGGACUACCAAGAUUACACAGCUGUUAGCGGCAGAACUGAGAUUCCACCUGGAUCUUCUGGCCACGAUGCCAACUCUUUGCCCAUCAAACCAGAGUGUCCCCAGGAUUCCCGAGGGCAGGGAGCUGGACACAGCUACUGUGGACCCAGGGAAGCGCUGACCAUCAGGAUUUGGCAGUGAGAGCCUCCGUCCAUCUCCCACCCUCCGGACUUCGAUGUUGGGGCCAGCAGACAGGAGCCAUCAGACACGUUCUUUUCGGGCUGCCUCUUCCUCCGUCCAGCUCAGGUGACUGGUGGCCCCUCUGGGCCCAACCAGUCUGGGCAAGAAGCAGCCCCAGCUCUGUCAGAUGCCCAGGGUGGCCCACCCCCCUUCCUGGAGCCCAGCCAGCCCUCUCAGCUGGACUCUUGACCCUCUGUUUUCCUGUUUCUCUGCAGGAAAUGAGCUCUGAAAGACAAGCGCUGAGUGGGGUCCAGACAACAUAUCCAUGCUCAGGGCAGGAAGUAGGAAGGCGGGCAGGGAGGUCCCAGGCAUAUCUGUCCCCUUCUCUCAGAAAAACAAUGCUUUUAUACAAAUCUCCCCAGCAGACUUCUGCUUGUUCUCUUUGGAAAGAACCAGAACAUGUGGCCAUUCCUAGCUGCAAGAAAGUCUGGGAAAAAGGGAGCAAGAUUAUCAUGAUUGGCUUAGACCAGGGUCAGCAACCUUCCGUGAAGGCCUAGAUGGUAAAGACUUGAGGCUUGGUGGCCGUAGACUCUGUCACAACUACUCAACUCUGCCUUUGAAGCACGAAAGCAGCCCCAGACAAUACACAACAAAUGGGUGUGGCUGUGUUCCCAUUAAACUUUAUGGACACAAGCUUGAAUUUCAUGUUAUUUUCAUGUGUCACAAAGUACUAUUUUUUUUUU